Molecule: ribosomal RNA, 687 nt
Filed under: Triticum aestivum (bread wheat)
Lineage: Eukaryota; Viridiplantae; Streptophyta; Magnoliopsida; Poales; Poaceae
Description: partial small subunit ribosomal RNA
Source: RNAcentral
AUGGCGGCCACCGCGGAUCCGAGGGCGAAGACGCCGGCCACGCAGCCGCACCGCCUGAAGCCGUGGGCGCCACCACCACCGCCUCGGGGCCACUGCGUGCCUUCCCUGUCAUCUGUCUCCGGGGGGUCUGGAGCCAUCUGCGAUCGGCGCCGCUCCUCGACGUCCCACCGACGCGGUGGUGCCGACGCCGUAGACGAGGGACCUUACGACGGCGGGCUGGAGGAUCUCCGGGCUAAGCUCAUGGGCCACGUCCAUGAAGCCGCCGACCGCCUUCGGCUGCCCCCGGCGACGCCCCAGCGGUCGCCGGAGACCAAGCCUCCGGCAGCGCCGCUUCCUCCGCCACCGCAGGACGCCGCCGCGGUUGUGGCCGCCAGCAUGCCGUGGACGCUGAGGGAGCGAAAGCGUCGUCCAUCAGCCCGCGGCAGCACGGGCGCCGCAUCGUCCGGGACGCCGUGGUCGACGACCCCGGCGGCCACGGCGCGGCACGACGGCAUGCGCGGUCCGUUCGCUGUGGCGCUGGAUGCGGAGGAGAUCGAGGAGGACGUGUACGCCCUCACCGGCGCCCGGCCGCGGCGGCGGCCCCGGAAGCGGGCGCGGGUCGUGCAGCGGCAGCUCGAUUCGCUGUUCCCGGGGCUAUGGCUGACCGAGAUCACCGCCGACGCCUACCGGGUCCCCGAUGACCAGUAA